Molecule: long non-coding RNA, 1245 nt
Filed under: Homo sapiens (human)
Lineage: Eukaryota; Metazoa; Chordata; Mammalia; Primates; Hominidae
Description: non-protein coding FLNB-AS1:3
Source: RNAcentral
GGGGGUGGUGGGCCCAUGGACCCCGAUCAGCAGCAUGUUGGAGCCAGCUUUGCUGCAGUCCACCAGGAAGGAACUCUUCUGGCCCACAAAGGCCUUUGAGAGCCCUGCCCCCUUAGAGGUCACCUUGCUGGCGUCCGAGGAUGCCUUGGGAAUGGCGCUAUAGCAGGUCUCUGUAGACGACCUGGUCACUGACUCCACCAGGAUGGAUGAGGUCUCGUUGGCUGAGCCAGGGCUAACUAGACGCUGGCCUGUCACCUUGGCCUUGAAGGGACUGCCCACGAUGUGGUUGGGCCCACCGUAUUUGACGCUGAUCAGGUAGUUACCAGGAGCCAUGGGGGUGUACAUGACUUUGUACCCUUCAGGUGUUUCCUGGCAAUCCAUUUUAACCUUGGAUGGGCCUUCGAUGGUGACGGAUAAUGUCCCUGGACCUGCUCGGGUGGUGUUAAUAAAGAAUUCCGACUGGAUACCUGUGGUGCCCCCUUCGAGUCCCGUGCCAUAGGCGGACACCAGGGCAGGGUUCCCCGCUUGUCCAGGCUCCCCAACGCGCACUUUGAAGGGGCUUCCAACCACGUGGCUCCCAUUGAACUUGACAUCGAUGGUGUGGACACCAUUCUCAUGAGGGAUGAAGCGAACAGCAUACUUAUCUAGGAGAAUGAGCAAAGGCACAGGGUGAAAUCAAGCAAAUGGACACCCCUGAGUUCAGUGAGGAUAAAGGAUGGAGGCCAAGCUGAGAUGGCCCAUUUAAAAUCAACAGUUCUACAGGGAGCCUGGCACUCAGCAUCCUGGAUUUCAGAACCAGACAGACCCCCUGGGUAUCCCUCAUCAGCCCCAAGGGAAACGCAUCCACAUUGCAAAUCCUAUAAACACAGGACAAGACUCUGACCCCUGCCUCAGAAGAACACUUCCUUUCUUUAGAAAACCUCACUUCUUCAGUGUGAAAUUCUGUGAAUGCUGUUACUAAUCCUGUCACGAGAUGAAUCUCAUUUCACCAAAAUUAAAUUAUGUUUUUCCACUAAAAUGAUGAUACAAGUUGAAGACACAGCACUCUGAAAUUGGAAGACCUCACCACUUAAGGCUCCGCAGCGGCUUACUCAGCUGAACUCCAGGUUACUACUCUUUACUUUGUUCACCCAUUGGGGAGUUCAGUUUGUUUUUAAACAUUGGGAGAUGGCCAUUCUAACUACUGUUCAAUGUCUCUGUUUUGGGAAGGCAUAACAAGAAAUAAAAAGGAAUAUAUAUGAAGGG